Molecule: ribosomal RNA, 689 nt
Filed under: uncultured bacterium
Lineage: Bacteria
Description: bacterial SSU rRNA
Rfam family: Bacterial small subunit ribosomal RNA
Source: RNAcentral
AACGCUAGCUACAGGCUUAACACAUGCAAGUCGAGGGGUAGCACGGAAGAAGCUUGCUUCUUUGGGUGACGACCGGCGCACGGGUGAGUAACGCGUAUCCGACCUACCCAUAACACGGGCACAGCCGCUCGAAAGAGUGAUUGAUUCCCGAUAUGUCAUUAGAGUAGAUUUAAUGAUGAAAGAUUUAUCGGUUAUGGAUGGGGAUGCGUAAGAUUAGGUAGUAGGCGGGGUAACGGCCCACCUAGCCGACGAUCUUUAGGGGUUCUGAGAGGAAGGUCCCCCACACUGGUACUGAGACACGGACCAGACUCCUACGGGAGGCAGCAGUGAGGAAUAUUGGUCAAUGGGCGGAAGCCUGAACCAGCCAAGUAGCGUGAAGGAUUACAGCCCUACGGGUUUUAAACUUCUUUUAUAUGAGAGUAAUGUGCACUACGUGUAGUGUAUUGCAAGUAUCAUAUGAAUAAGCAUCGGCUAACUCCGUGCCAGCAGCCGCGGUAAUACGGAGGAUGCGAGCGUUAUCCGGAUUUAUUGGGUUUAAAGGGUGCGUAGGCGGAAAGUUAAGUCAGUGGUCAAAACUCAAGGCUCAACCUUGAGUCGCCAUUGAAACUGGUUUUCUGGAGUGAGCGAGAAGUAUGCGGAAUGCGUGGUGUAGCGGUGAAAUGCAUAGAUAUCACGAAGAACUCCGAUUG